UAAAUAGCCCGUAUUGCUUUGGCAGUACGCUGGCUUCUUAGAGGGACUAUCGGCUCAAGCCGAUGGAAGUUUGAGGCAAUAACAGGUCUGUGAUGCCCUUAGAUGUUCUGGGCCGCACGGUACGUAUUUAAUCUAAUCCUUUUCCACAUUCUAAUUUUUUAAUCACUUAUGCUAACUUUUUUUCACAGCGCGCUACACUGACAAAGCCAGCGAGUAUUUCCU
Molecule: ribosomal RNA, 222 nt
Filed under: Sordariomycetes sp.
Lineage: Eukaryota; Fungi; Ascomycota; Sordariomycetes
Description: partial small subunit ribosomal RNA
Rfam family: Eukaryotic small subunit ribosomal RNA (bases 1-119)
Source: RNAcentral